This 376-nucleotide ribosomal RNA is filed under the name uncultured organism. Its description in RNAcentral is "partial 16S ribosomal RNA". It matches the Rfam family "Bacterial small subunit ribosomal RNA", at positions 527 to 897 of the family's 1533-position model. The record is from RNAcentral.
GUAGGUGGCAAGCGUUGUCCGGGAAUUAUUGGGGCGUAAAGCGCGCGCAGGCGGUUCUUUAAGUCUGAUGUGAAAGCCCACGGGCUCAACCGUGGAGGGUCAUUGGAAACUGGAGAACUUGAGUACAGAAGAGGAAAGCGGAAUUCCACGUGUAGCGGUGAAAUGCGUAGAGAUGUGGAGGAACACCAGUGGCGAAGGCGGCUUUCUGGUCUGUAACUGACGCUGAGGCGCGAAAGCGUGGGGAGCAAACAGGAUUAGAUACCCUGGUAGUCCACGCCGUAAACGAUGAGUGCUAAGUGUUAGGGGGUUUCCGCCCCUUAGUGCUGCAGCUAACGCAUUAGGCACUCCGCCUGGGGAGUACGGCCGCAAAGGCUGA